UACGUAGGGGGCAAGCGUUGUCCGGAUUUAUUGGGCGUAAGGCGCGCGUAGACGGCGCGGUAUGUCGUGCGUGAAAUCUCCCGGCUUAACUGGGAGGGGCCGUGCGAAACUGCCGGGCUUGAGGUCAGAAGGGGAAAGUGGAAUUCCGGGUGUAGUGGUGGAAUACGUAGAGUAUCCGGAGGAACACCAGCGACGAAGGCGGCUUUCUGGUCUGAUACUGACGCUGAGGCGCGAAAGCGUGGGGAGCGAUCCGG
This 254-nucleotide ribosomal RNA is filed under the name uncultured bacterium. Its description in RNAcentral is "partial 16S ribosomal RNA". It matches the Rfam family "Bacterial small subunit ribosomal RNA", at positions 524 to 776 of the family's 1533-position model. The record is from RNAcentral.